Molecule: ribosomal RNA, 800 nt
Filed under: uncultured bacterium
Lineage: Bacteria
Description: bacterial SSU rRNA
Rfam family: Bacterial small subunit ribosomal RNA
Source: RNAcentral
AGAGUUUGAUCCUGGCUCAGAUUGAACGCUGGCGGCAUGCCUUACACAUGCAAGUCGAACGGCAGCAUGAUGUGUAGCAAUACACGUUGAUGGCGAGUGGCGAACGGGUGAGUAAUAUAUCGGAACGUGUCCUGUAGCGGGGGAUAACCUAUCGAAAGAUGGACUAAUACCGCAUACGCUCUACGGAGGAAAGCGGGGGUCGCAAGACCUCGCACUAUAGGAGCGGCCGAUAUCGGAUUAGCUAGUUGGCGGGGUAAAAGCCCACCAAGGCGACGAUCCGUAGCUGGUCUGAGAGGAUGAUCAGCCACACUGGAACUGAGACACGGUCCAGACUCCUACGGGAGGCAGCAGUGGGGAAUUUUGGACAAUGGGCGCAAGCCUGAUCCAGCCAUGCCGCGUGAGUGAAGAAGGCCUUCGGGUUGUAAAGCUCUUUCGGCAGGAACGAAAUGGUUCGUGUUAAUACCACGGACUGAUGACGGUACCUGAAGAAGAAGCACCGGCUAACUACGUGCCAGCAGCCGCGGUAAUACGUAGGGUGCAGGCGUUAAUCGGAAUUACUGGGCGUAAAGCGUGCGCAGGCGGUUUCUUAAGUCAGAUGUGAAAGCCCCGGGCUUAACCUGGGAACUGCGUUUGAAACUGGGAGACUUGAGUGUGGCAGAGGGGGGUGGAAUUCCACGUGUAGCAGUGAAAUGCGUAGAUAUGUGGAGGAACACCGAUGGCGAAGGCAGCCCCCUGGGUUAACACUGACGCUCAUGCACGAAAGCGUGGGGAGCAAACAGGAUUAGAUACCCUAGUAGUCC